Molecule: ribosomal RNA, 253 nt
Filed under: uncultured bacterium
Lineage: Bacteria
Description: partial 16S ribosomal RNA
Rfam family: Bacterial small subunit ribosomal RNA
Source: RNAcentral
UACGAAGGGGGCUAGCGUUGCUCGGAAUUACUGGGCGUAAAGGGCGCGUAGGCGGAUAUCUAAGUUGGGGGUGAAAUCCCGGGGCUCAACCUCGGAAUUGCCUUCAAAACUGGAUAUCUUGAGUUCGGUAGGGGAGACUGGAAUUCCUGGUGUAGCGGUGAAAUGCGCAGAUAUCAGGAGGAACACCGGUGGCGAAGGCGGGUCUCUGGGCCGAUACUGACGCUGAGGAGCGAAAGCGUGGGGAGCGAACAGG